UCCUCCCUCUUUCUUCGUGCUUAACACAUGCAAGUCGAACGAAGAGCGAUGGACGCUUGCUUCUAUCAAUCUUAGUGGCGAACGGGUGAGUAACGCGUAAUCAACCUGCCCUUCAGAGGGGGACAACAGUUGGAAACGACUGCUAAUACCGCAUACGAUCUAAUCUCGGCAUCGAGGAUAGAUGAAAGGUGGCCUCUACAUGUAAGCUAUCACUGAAGGAGGGGAUUGCGUCUGAUUAGCUAGUUGGAGGGGUAACGGCCCACCAAGGCGAUGAUCAGUAGCCGGUCUGAGAGGAUGAACGGCCACAUUGGGACUGAGACACGGCCCAGACUCCUACGGGAGGCAGCAGUGGGGAAUCUUCCGCAAUGGACGAAAGUCUGACGGAGCAACGCCGCGUGAGUGAGGACGGCCUUCGGGUUGUAAAGCUCUGUUAAUCGGGACGAAAGGCCUUCUUGCGAAUAGUGAGAAGGAUUGACGGUACCGGAAUAGAAAGCCACGGCUAACUACGUG
RNAcentral lists this ribosomal RNA (510 nucleotides) under uncultured bacterium. RNAcentral describes it as "partial 16S ribosomal RNA". It matches the Rfam family "Bacterial small subunit ribosomal RNA", at positions 36 to 507 of the family's 1533-position model. The record is from RNAcentral.